UGGGGAAUAUUGCACAAUGGAGGGAACUCUGAUGCAGCGACGCCGCGUGAACGAAGAAGGCUUUCGAGUCGUAAAGUUCUUUUAUAUGGGAAGAUAAUGACGGUACCAUAAGAAAAAGCCCCGGCUAACUACGUGCCAGCAGCCGCGGUAAUACGUAGGGGGCUAGCGUUGUCCGGAAUCACGUGGCGUAAAGGGUUCGCAGGCGGAAAUGCAAGUCAGGUGUAAAAGGCAGUAGCUUAACUACUGUAAGCAUUUGAAACUGCAUAUCUUGAGAAGAGUAGAGGUAAGUGUAAUUUUUAGUGUAGCGGUGAAAUGCGUAGAUAUUAAAAAGAAUACCGGUGGCGAAGGCGGCGUACUGGGCUCAUUCUGACGCUGAGGAACGAAAGCGUGGGUAGCAAACAGG
RNAcentral lists this ribosomal RNA (403 nucleotides) under bacterium. RNAcentral describes it as "partial 16S ribosomal RNA". It matches the Rfam family "Bacterial small subunit ribosomal RNA", at positions 355 to 776 of the family's 1533-position model. The record is from RNAcentral.